UCACCAACAACCUCUUACCGUUUCCCUAUCUAAAAGCUACUUUUAAUAAGGACCCCUCCCAAUUUGACACCUACCUAAAUUCAUUUUCACCACACUUGUACAUGGAUCCCUUAAAUAAGUUUAUUUUGGCAGAGAAGAGAAAACGAGGAUAAACCUUUCUUGCAGAAGAAAAAGACAAGAUAGUGAAAUUGCUGCCGUCUCAUAGAGACACAAUAUUAAACAAAAAACGGAUGGGACCACGAACGAAGCCAAAAACAAAGCUUGGAUCCAGUUACAAAUAGUUUUAAUGCGAUAGGAACCGUUUACAGUUUCAGGUGGUGCGAGAAAUUGGAAAGACGUGUAAAAACAUGCUGCGCCCAGCCCACCUCAAAUUGAAUUGGUGCAGGAGGAUGAUGAUAAUGUUUGGUACAUCAUAUGAGGACUAAUAUUAAAAUAUUUGUUUAC
Long non-coding RNA from Helicoverpa armigera (cotton bollworm), 444 nucleotides. RefSeq lists it as uncharacterized. The transcript is spliced from 3 exons. The record is from RefSeq and is a predicted model, not a curated record. Lineage: Eukaryota; Metazoa; Arthropoda; Insecta; Lepidoptera; Noctuidae.